GCUAGCAUAUCAAUAAGCGGAGGAAAAGAAACUAACAAGGAUUCCCCUAGUAACUGCGAGUGAAGCGGGAAAAGCUCAAAUUUAAAAUCUGGCGGUCUUUGGCCGUCCGAGUUGUAAUCUAGAGAAGUGCUAUCCGCGCUGGACCGUGUACAAGUCUCCUGGAAUGGAGCGUCAUAGAGGGUGAGAAUCCCGUCUUUGACACGGACUGCCAGGGCUUUGUGAUGUGCUCUCAAAGAGUCGAGUUGUUUGGGAAUGCAGCUCAAAAUGGGUGGUAAAUUCCAUCUAAAGCUAAAUAUUGGCGAGAGACCGAUAGCGAACAAGUACCGUGAGGGAAAGAUGAAAAGAACUUUGGAAAGAGAGUUAAACAGUACGUGAAAUUGCUGAAAGGGAAACGCUUGAAGUCAGUCGCGUUGGCCGGGGAUCAACCUUGCUUUUGCUGGGUGUACUUUCCGGUUGACGGGUCAGCAUCAAUUUUGACCGUUGGAUAAAGUCUGUGGGAAUGUGGCUUCUUCGGAAGUGUUAUAGCCCAUGGUCGCAUACAACGGUUGGGAUUGAGGAACUCAGCACGCCGCAAGGCCGGGUAUUUAUACCACGUUCGUGCUUAGGAUGCUGGCAUAAUGGCUUUAAUCGACCCGUCUUGAAACACGGACCAAGGAGUCUAACAUGCCUGCGAGUGUUUGGGUGGAAAACCCGAGCGCGUAAUGAAAGUGAAAGUUGAGAUCCCUGUCGUGGGGAGCAUCGACGCCCGGACCAGACCUUUUGUGACGGAUCCGCGGUAGAGCAUGUAUGUUGGGACCCGAAAGAUGGUGAACUAUGCCUGAAUAGGGUGAAGCCAGAGGAAACUCUGGUGGAGGCUCGUAGCGAUUCUGACGUGCAAAUCGAUCGUCAAAUUUGGGUAUAGGGGCGAAAGACUAAUCGAACCAUCUAGUAGCUGGUUCCUGCGAUCCUCCUCUCUCUCGUUUUUA
Molecule: ribosomal RNA, 965 nt
Filed under: Psilocybe sp.
Lineage: Eukaryota; Fungi; Basidiomycota; Agaricomycetes; Agaricales; Agrocybaceae
Description: partial large subunit ribosomal RNA
Rfam family: Eukaryotic large subunit ribosomal RNA
Source: RNAcentral